Molecule: long non-coding RNA, 5534 nt
Organism: Bicyclus anynana (squinting bush brown)
Lineage: Eukaryota; Metazoa; Arthropoda; Insecta; Lepidoptera; Nymphalidae
Exons: 2
Source: RefSeq, a predicted model, not a curated record
UUUUUAAUUAUUUAAAUAAUUAUAAAUACAUAAGACAACAUAUAAAAACUCCUUCUUCCAGAUAAAUGUUUUAAUCUGUACUGUUUAUUAAUGAUAAUGGUUUUAUUCUGAGGUUGGUAGGGUAUUGUGAUAUAUACUCUUUGUAAAAGAGGCGAACAUGCGAUUAUGUGGCGUGAAGUUUAUUUAAUUAAUGUAUUAUCCAUCUACCAAAAAGUGAGAGUACCUACGAACACGAUGUCAUUACCUACAUUAAAGUCGAUCUACAGAAAGAAAAUGUAACGGCAUUUAAAUGAAGUGUGAAUUUGGGAAACAGUGGUUUACAUUACGAGAAAUGCGAUAAAAAUCAUACGUGUGUACAACCAUUAAGUAUGUAUACCACUGACGGCUAUGGGACGCACGCCGCACUGGUCCCGGUAAAAGUAUUUAUGCGAUGUCGGUUGUCGAUGCUUACAAUAUCUAACAAGAAUGAAGAAACGUAAACGUAACACACUUAUACCAUGUUGACGAUAUUUAUGAGCAAAACAGUCAAACAGUCCAACAGCACUCAUAAGAGGAUAUUAUUUGAAAAACUGCGAGAGAACAGAGAAGAACGUGUAAAUUAAUAACAAAAUACAAAGAUGCAUGUGUGGUGUUAGCUGCAGAGUUAUAUGAGAUGGAAUCCUGUUGGUUUGACGGAUGAGAAAUACCAAUGAUGUCUAAAUAUAUUAAACUAGGUGUCUGGUGAGUUUUAUUAGUUUGAUUAAACAGCCUCAUAAAUUAUUCAGUUGUGACUAAUAUGAAAUAAAAUUACAAAGAAUAAAUAAUCACUAGGUGAAACUAAGUAUGGUUGAUAGGUUGUCAGUUUGUCUGGCUUAUUGUCAAAACAUUUUUGUUAGAUGACUAUAUCUAGGAAACCAAAAUCAUUUAAGUGAAAAGUACACACACACACACACACAUACACACUGCUCAAGAAAUUAACGUAUGAAGACAGACCACUCUAGGGUUGUUAGGAUGUAGGACACUGGCAUAAUGUAAUAUUGAGAAAUCUUAAUUAUAGAACUACAUUACAUCCGUUGCUGACAUGGGACUAAAAUGAAUUAACUAAAAUAUUGUUUUUUUUUGUGCCUGUAACUUCAAACUAUACAUUUGUUAUAUGUGAGUUUUUAUGACUGAAUAACAUAAAAAUUAAAAAUAUAUGAAGUUUUAUGUAAUGGUUCAAGUAUUAUUUUAGGCCUUGAUGUAGGUACCUGAUAACAAGUUUUGAGACAGCUAUUACAAUAUUUUCAGAUAGGAUUUGCUUAGAUAUAUCAUUAUGUAGAUUACUGUAUGUACUUAAUAUAAAUUUUUUUAAAUCUUUUAAGAAAUUGGAUUGAUAGAUUUCUUGAAAAAUAAAUUUGUAGUUAUGUUUGAAAACCUAUUUAACUAUUCAAGCGUGGACAACAUGCCUUCAGCCUAUUUAGUAUAGAACAGUUAUUAACAAUCUGCAGCAACACAGUAAAUGAUUCUUAUCCAUGAAUAUUAUUAUAUUCGGCUUAUCUACAAGAGUACUAAGAGAUAUUAUGAUAUUCAUCUUAAUGAAAUCUUAUAAUUAAUUAAAUUGGAGAUUUUUUUUUAGGGUGAUAUUAAAAAGUUACUUGUGUGACAAUUGAGUAAUAAAUAAUUAAUUAUAAUAAUAUCAUUGAUCACAAAUUGUCUUAGAGCCCAGUCUGUAUGGACUUCAAGUAAAGAGACACAGAUUGCCAUAAAUAGGUUGUAAAAUAUUUGUCUAAGACAUAUUUUGACAGUUUUGUGGGUGGGUGACGUUGGGCUCUCUUUUCAUUAAUGAUCAUGUGCAGAUGUAUAGAUUCUACAUACAAGUAAAUUAACCAUACUAUUGCUGUUGUUUUAGAUUCAAUCAAUCAGUUUAUUAUUUGCAGAUACACUAGUGUAUUUAAUCCAUGUCUCAUUUGUUUAUUUCUAGCAUUUUAUUAGAUUGCAACAUUUUGUAUAAUUAUGAAAAUUAGUAAUUAUUAUGGGGUUGUGGUUAGAAUUAUAUAUUCGGAUGGUUACAAUGAUAUGUGCAUAAGGUUUUAACUAGGGUAUACUAGUACACUAAAGGUAAAAAAAAAAUUAGAAAAUUCCUUGGCCAACAUAUUAAGUGGUAUAGGUUUUGAAUAUAGAUUUGUAUUGGGUCCUUAGGUAGUCAGUACAUUUGUGCAUCUACAAAGUGCACGCCACCGAGUUGUUGGUACCUGCAUGCAACUGAUGGGUGGUCUGCAUCAAGUAUGAAUCAAUAUAGAGACUUAAAUCAUUACAUCAGUAAAAUAAUUAAUGGAUAUAGCCAAAAAAAAAAAAAAAAGAAAUUUAACAGAAUUAAAAAAAAAAGAAUAUACUAAAAUUAAUGAAUAGGUAAAACCUCUGAUAGCAAACUAGAGGUAUAUAACAAAGGGGGUGGUCUGGUCUAAGACAGGUUUAUGCUACUAUUAUUACAAAAAAGGGGGUAGUCUGAAGAUAAUUAUACAAUACAUAGUCAAAUAUCAUCUUUUCUUAUCUAGUGAUAACUACUAGGAUUGGAUUACAUACUAAAAUUAUUACAAUCAUAAAUCGCAAUAUUUUCAAGAAGUCUUUAUUAUCAUUAAAAAAAAAAAGCAUUUCUUUAAGAGAAAGAGUCUUUUGUCUGAAUUAAAGUAAAUUGAUAGAUUAACACAUGUUUAACAUUUUAUUUCAUUUUAUGUACCGGGUCUAAGGUUCAUUCAAUUAUAGACUGAUUUUCUCUUGGAUGCUAGGUAUGCUAGUUAUGUUAAAUUAAAUUAUUUGUCAAACAAGUAUGAUAUUUAUCUGAACGAUUAAGUGACUGAGCUAUGUGAUACUGUGUGAAAAUAUUUGAUUACAGAUCCGAGAUGCAUGGAUAUUGAUUGAUGAAUAUGGGAUAUAUGAGAUUCUCAUGAUAAUCAUUGGGUUGAACACAGCCCUAUUCGACAGUUGACCCAAAUCACAAAGAUGAGAGAAGUUACACUAUGUAUUGAUAACACACGAUUUAAAUUUAGUAUUUUUAUUUAUGAUAUGAUGAUAUUAUAAUUAUGUAUUAUAUUGAGAGUUAUUAGUUUUGAUAUCAUAUAUACAUAUAUUUUAAAUAUUUGCUCACAUCCAUGAUGUUAUUCAUUAAUUAUGACUUACUGAUGACGAUUUGUGUUUUGGUAAAAUUUUAAUAUAAGGAUAGAUGUAUUACACAGGCCGACACGAUUUUCGUUGUCCAAGAUAUAAUUAUUUUUUUUCUACUGAUUUUGUAGUGCUGAUUACGAAAUCAGACCUAAUUUUAUCAUAUCACAUCAGAUUUUUAGUAAAAUUAAUAUAUUCGCUAGUUUUGAUUUUUCAGUGAAAUUUUCGAGUUUUGGCACUCUUUCUUUGAAUUAAGCGACCUCUCAUGAGAAAUUACUUCAGUUAUAACAACGACACACCUAUUUGUAACGCGUUUCGUGGAAAUAAGCUGUUAUAGUGCCUUUGUUAAAAAAAAAAAUAUAUAUAUAUUUUAGUUAAUGGUUUUUUUUGUUGAUGGAAAACGUCUGAUAAACAUAACGUCUUCUAUAAAGUGUCACAAUAGUCCAGAUAUAUUUUGUUACAUUUGUUGAAACUUUAUGAUUCUAAGCAAAAACUGAAAAAUUUGUGGAAAAUAUGUAUAAUAAAUAUGUAGCUUAUUUUGACUUCAAAAUACAAAUAAAAUCGUGGACUCUGCAGUUUGUACUAAUCGUGUUGAACAAUUAAGGCAGUGGACACUGGACAUACAGCAAAAGACAAUCUCUACCUUUUGGUACUACCUAUGAUAUAGUGAAAGCAAGACAAUCAUACAGAUAUUGUUAUUUUUGCUGUAUGUUAGAAGCUUUUAAAGUAAAAUUUGUUUUCCUUUUUGUAAAAAAAAUUGAUGUGAUAGAUUAAUUGUGCAGGUAUUUUUGUGUUCAAAAUACUAUAAAUUACUGAUAAUUUUUACUGAAAUCAAAACAACGUUCAAAAAGUAUUCAUUUGUCGGCCGGUGUUAUCGAUAAUAUUUUAGAUAGUAUUAUAGUAUAGUAGUGUUAUGACGACUAAUAUACCGUUAUUUGUUUUGUGAAUGAUUAUGGAUAUAUUUGUUGUAUAAUAAUUUCUCUAUUGAUUAUUACACAGCAAAAUAAAAUAAAUAAAUAAAUAUAAAAAGAUUCCAACGAAUUGAUAAACUCCUUUUUUUUGAAGUCGUUUAAAAAUGUAUGUAUAUGUAUUUAUAUCUGAUUUUAUAUUUUGAUUAUCUUCUAUCACAUGUCAUCUGGAAGUCUAACACGAUCAUGAAGUCCUGUAACUAUAUUAGUUCUGAACUUGAUGGUGAGGGGUUCGGUGCAGAUGCAACACAUCAUCUGGAAGUCUAACACGAUCACAAAGUCCUGUAACUUUACUAGUUCUUGACUUGGUGGUGAGGGGUUCGGUGCAGAUGUCACACAUCAUCUGGAAGUCUAACACGAUCACAAAGUCCUGUAACUUUACUAGUUCUUGACUUGGUGGUGAGGGGUUCGGUGCAGAUGUCACACAUCAUCUGGAAGUCUAACACGAUCACAAAGUCCUGUAAUUUUACUAGUUCUGGACUUGGUGGUGAGGGGUUCGGUGCAGAUGUCACACAUCAUCUGGAAGUCUAACACGAUCACAAAGUCCUGUAACUUUACUAGUUCUGGACUGGGUGGUGAGGGGUUCGGUGCAGAUGCCAUUAAUCGAUGAUGACGAAUUUGACAAAUAUAAAUAAUGUUUUGAAAUGAUGAAAAUAGAUAAGUUGAUUGACAAAAGCUUCACAUGAACAUUAUGUUUAUUUAUAAUAUGUAUCACUCUUAUUCUUAUUUAACAUUUUUAUGAUAAAAGUAUAUAGAAGAAAUCAAGAAUUUCAUUAUAGUUUCAUUGGAUUCUUUUAAAUAACUUAUGGGAUGCUGUGUGAUAAUUAAUUAUAAAAUUUUAUUGUUAACAUUGUUCUAUUUAUAGUUGAUAUUAUAGUAAUGUCAUAAUUUCAUGAUAUUCUUGUGUUGUUUGGGGACAAACUUUUAGUAAGGAUGGCCGAAUAUUAGAAGAUAAAGACAUUACAUUUGUAAAUAUUACAUAUCGUCUAUGUACUUAAUGCUUUAAAUUAAUCUACUACUCUGUCUAAGUUAAUUACAAUAUUUAAUAAGUCUCUGUCUAGAGUAAAGCUCCCUCUUGUCAUCUGGAAGCUCAGACAAAUAUUAGAAGAUAAAGACAUUACAUUUGUAAAUAUUACAUAUCGUCUAUGUACUUAAUGCUUUAAAUUAAUCUACUACUCUGUCUAAGUUAAUUACAAUAUUUAAUAAGUCUCUGUCUAGAGUAAAGCUCCCUCUUGUCAUCUGGAAGCUCAGACAAAUAUUAGAAGAUAAAGACAUUACAUUUGUAAAUAUUACAUAUCGUCUAUGUACUUAAUGCUUUAAAUUAAUCUACUACUCUGUCUAAGUUAAUUACAAUAUUUAAUAAGUCUCUGUCUAGAGUAAAGCUCCCUCUUGUCAUCUGGAAGCUCAGACAAAUAUUAGAAGAUAAAGACAUUACAUUUGUAAAUAUUA